RNAcentral lists this ribosomal RNA (158 nucleotides) under Pseudomonas putida. Its description in RNAcentral is "partial 16S ribosomal RNA". It matches the Rfam family "Bacterial small subunit ribosomal RNA", at positions 1386 to 1533 of the family's 1533-position model. The record is from RNAcentral. Lineage: Bacteria; Pseudomonadati; Pseudomonadota; Gammaproteobacteria; Pseudomonadales; Pseudomonadaceae.
CACACCGCCCGUCACACCAUGGGAGUGGGUUGCACCAGAAGUAGCUAGUCUAACCUUCGGGAGGACGGUUACCACGGUGUGAUUCAUGACUGGGGUGAAGUCGUAACAAGGUAGCCGUAGGGGAACCUGCGGCUGGAUCACCUCCUUAAUCGACGACA